This 499-nucleotide ribosomal RNA is filed under the name uncultured bacterium. RNAcentral's name for it is "bacterial SSU rRNA". It matches the Rfam family "Bacterial small subunit ribosomal RNA", at positions 29 to 521 of the family's 1533-position model. The record is from RNAcentral.
AUUGAACGCUGGCGGCGUGCUUAACACAUGCAAGUCGAUCGGUAACAGGUGUAGCAAUACAUGCUGACGAGAGGCGGACGGGUGAGUAAUGCUUGGGAAUCUGCCUAUUAGUGGGGGACAACCCGGGGAAACUCGGGCUAAUACCACAUACGCUCUACGGAGGAAAGCCGGGGACCGCAAGGCCUGGCGCUAAUAGAUGAGCCCAAGUCGGAUUAGCUAGUUGGUAGGGUAACGGCCUACCAAGGCGACAAUCCGUAGCUGGUCUGAGAGGACGACCAGCCACACCGGAACUGAGACACGGUCCGGACUCCUACGGGAGGCAGCAGUGGGGAAUAUUGGACAAUGGGGGCAACCCUGAUCCAGCGACGCCGCGUGGGUGAAGAAGGCCUGCGGGUUGUAAAGCCCUUUCGGUGGGGAAGAAAAGUCUCGACCUAAUACGUCGGGACCUUGACGUAACCACUAAAGAAGCACCGGCUAACUCUGUGCCAGCCGCCGCGGU